GCACCGGUGGUGCAUGGUGCAUUCCUCAUUCAAUUUCAAGGAUUUCAUAUUAACCAUUAUUGAGGUGGUACGGGGUUCGAUUCCCCGCCGGUGCA
Molecule: non-coding RNA, 95 nt
Organism: Mycena rebaudengoi
Lineage: Eukaryota; Fungi; Basidiomycota; Agaricomycetes; Agaricales; Mycenaceae
Source: the annotation of a GenBank genome assembly